Molecule: ribosomal RNA, 1538 nt
Filed under: Oregoniplana geniculata
Lineage: Eukaryota; Metazoa; Platyhelminthes; Tricladida; Cercyridae
Description: partial 28S ribosomal RNA
Rfam family: Eukaryotic large subunit ribosomal RNA
Source: RNAcentral
AGCCCGACACCGAAUCCUGUACCAUUUGUGGUAUUGGGAGUUGUGGUGGAUAGGAUUGUGUCUUUGGUGCUUGAAUUAACUUGAAAUUCGCUUGAAUGCGAUAUGUCCGUAGAGGGUGAAAGUCCCGUUCAGGUUAAUGAUGGUGUCAUUGAUGCUUUCCAAUGAGUAGGAUUGUUUGGGAAUGCAGUCCGAAUUGGGUGGUAGAUUCCAUCUAAGGCUAAAUACUUGUCUGAGUCCGAUAGCAAACAAGUACCGUGAGGGAAAGUUGAAAAGUACUUUGAAGAGAGAGUUAAAUAGCACGUGAAAUCACUUAAAGGUAAACGAGUAGAGCCCAAGGUUGGUGUUUAGAAUUCAGCUUUGAAGGCUGUCCAGUUUUUGGUUAUCAAUCUGCAAAGUUGAUGCUAUUGACUCGGCGCAGUUUUCGGGGUGCACUUUCUAUUCAUCAAAUAUGCGACCAGUAUGAGGUUUUUCUGUCGUAGAGAUGAAGUUAUCCAUAUCUUCGGAUUUGGUUUAUAUAGCUUUCUGCAUGGUUGAAUCUUGAACUGGUGACAGUGACCGACAAAGUUCGUGUGUGUGUUCACUUGAAUGUAGCUCUUGUAAACUCUAAGAGAUUGCUUGGGUUAUGUUUUUGUGUUUAUGCUUCAACUUGUUGGUGCAAAGUCAGCAUUGUAGUAGGCAGUCUACUUGUCCCGUCUUGAAACACGGACCAAGGAGUUUUUUAUACUUGCGAGUCAAAGGGCCUUACGAAACCCCACGGCGUAAUGAAAGUGAAUAAUUCUUCGGAAUUUUCAAAUGCGACCUUUGAAGGUUUCCCCUUCGAAGUGCAGCAUUGCCCUGUUCAAAGAUGUUCGCAUCUGAGCAGAGGUGGAGCAAGUAUGAAGAGACCCGAAAGAUGGUGAACUUUGGUUGUGCAGGUUGAAGCCAGAGGAAACUCUGGUGGAGGACCGAAGCAGUUCUGACGUGCAAAUCGAUUGUCAGACAUGACCAAAGGGGCGAAAGACUAAUCGAACCAUCUAGUAGCUGGUUCCCUCCGAAGUUUCCCUCAGGAUAGCUGGCGCUGUAUAUAGUUAUAUCCGGUAAAGCGAAUGAUUAGAAGUACCGGGGACGAAAUGUCCUCGUCUUAUUCUCAAACUUUAAAUGGGUAUGUAGUGCUGCUUACUUCAUUGAAGUAGUACAAACAAUAUCAGUGCUUAGUGGGCCAUUUUUGGUAAGCAGAACUGGCGAUGUGGGAUGAACCAAACAUUCAGUUAAGGUGCCUAAUUCAUGCUCAUGAGACACCACAAAAGGUGUUGGUUGAUAAAGACAGCAGGACGGUGGACAUGGAAGUUGUCAUCCGCUAAGGAGUGUGUAACAACUCACCUGCCGAAUCAACCAGCCCUGAAAAUGGAUGGCGCUGUAGCAUGGAACCUAUACUGGAUCGGCACGGUAAGCACAUUGCGAGUAAGCCGUGUCGUGUAGGAGGGCGCUGUGAUAGUGCUGAAGCUACAGGCGUGAGCCUGGGUUGAACUGUCACGGGUGCAGAUCUUGGUAGUAGUAGC